UGAACUGACAGGUGCUCUCCAACUGGAGUCAACAAACAAUUCAGACGGAAGCAUUUCUCCAAACGCAACUUCCGGUCCAAACAGCAGGUGAUAAUUAAUGGAAGCUAACGCCGGAGCUAACAGGUUAGCUUCAAACUACGGGACAGAAGAGUCGUUGUUUUUAAAUGUAGAGGUACAAACGAAGAGACUGUCUGUGUGUCUGUCCGGUCAGAAACCGCCAUUACUGCUGUCCUUGUUUUUUAUUGUCGUCGUGUGAUAACGUCUGGACGAACUUGGAAUACUGUGACCUGAAACAUUUACAAAGAAGCCUCAGCAGACAUGGAAGAUCAGACACGAACAUUCAAAGACAGAUUUAUUUAGAAACUUCUGGAAAUUCAAGGAUCGAUUUGUCAUCGGAUGAACAACGGAGACUAAACAUUAGCCUCGACGAUGUUAAGGUGAGGGGAAACCGAGAGACACAACCACGGACUUCAGCUAGAAGUAAAGACUGGCAGUGGAGACAGGCUGAACUGAUGUUGGCAGGAAGACGUGACUUGCAGAUCACAUAUGACUUCAGAUGAAUUUGAGCCAGAGCUAAUCUAAUCUGGAGUUUACGGCUUUAAAACCAAAGCAGCUGGCAGAGAGAAGGACACCUUCACCAGUCCGUCUGUUAAUGGAACUACUGGAGGCAUCCAUCUGCAUUAGACAGAGGGGAUGUAAUGAGGACAGAGUCUUACCCGCCAUUGUCGUCGUCUUGCAUUGUGAUGUCCCGCCCCUGGAGGAAUGCGUGAGAGGAGUUUACGGGGAUGGCGAACAGCUCCUGGCAGAUGUGAGCAGCUGGGCUGUGCAGAAUGGCUACUUAAAGAGGCCUUACAGGACGGAGGAGAAGACAAGACUGAGAAGAUGACUGAGAGUCCUGUCACAGCCCAGAACUAGAACAACCAGAAAGUGUCCCAACAAAUACGGACCCCAUUAAGGUGAGAUAAGAUGGAGACGGAUGAGCAGUCGCUGCAUCACAAGCUUCUAACACAGUUGACUCUUAAAUACAAAGUUCUUGUAGAUCUAAGUAAACGUGUCUCAGUUUGGGAUUCAAAAAGUUCAAAGUUUGUAGAAUGUUACCAGACUGUGUUGGGUUCAAUAGUUACUGUUUAGAAACGACAAGAACUUGGCUUUAAGUUGGUUCUUUACUGCGUACUGUCUCUAGGAAACAGAUUCCUUUAAAAAACAUCAGCAUCAGAGGAAAGGUGUAGAUUAGUGUGUGGCUGGAGGUGUACGGUGCACUGGCUGAAAUGGUGGCUCCACAUCAUGUUACAUUUGUGAAGGUUUGGGGCUAAUGAGCGUCUGUUCACAUCCCUGUGCUGGUGAGUGAGAGCAGACAAAGCCAUGCCAGACGUCUGGGUGUGCAGCAACAUCAAUGAGCAGGCGAGGAUCAGGCGGUUGAUGCAGCGGUGAGGUGGAGGCAGCAGCUCCAAGCAGUGAACACAAAAGGUGUUAGGAGGCUGAAACUAGCAGAACUAAACCGAGCAGAGACCUGCACUGAGGGGCGAGGAGACGGAGGAAGAGGAAGCAGCAGCAGCAGCAGCAGCAGCGACAGGGGCAGAGCCAUGGGUAGAGGCUGGUCCAGCAGCAAAUGGCAAGCUUUUUUUUUUUUUUUUUUACACCAACACAGAAGAAACAGACAGAGAAACAAACCAAAGCAUGGACUUUUGAUGAAGCCCUAGUUAGUUGAUUACAUCACUUAAAAAAAAAUCAACAGCUGAAGGAAACAUCACCCAAAAUAACCAGUGCAUCUUUACAGCCACUCUUUUUUUUAACUCCCAGCUGAGGUUUUUAUCAUGUAGGUGCAAAGUGAUAGUCUGUUAGAACAAGCACAGGAGUUAUGAAUCAUGUAAAGAA
This is a long non-coding RNA of Cynoglossus semilaevis (tongue sole), 1875 nucleotides long. RefSeq lists it as uncharacterized. NCBI's taxonomy places the organism in Eukaryota, Metazoa, Chordata, Actinopteri, Pleuronectiformes, Cynoglossidae. The transcript is spliced from 5 exons. The record is from RefSeq and is a predicted model, not a curated record.